This 495-nucleotide ribosomal RNA is filed under the name uncultured bacterium. RNAcentral's name for it is "partial 16S ribosomal RNA". It matches the Rfam family "Bacterial small subunit ribosomal RNA", at positions 28 to 523 of the family's 1533-position model. The record is from RNAcentral.
GAUGAACGCUGGCGGCGUGCUUAACACAUGCAAGUCGAACGAAGCACCUUGAUUUGAUUCUUCGGAUGAAGAUCUUGGUGACUGAGUGGCGGACGGGGGAGUAACGCGUGGGUAACCUGCCUCAUACAGGGGGAUAACAGUUAGAAAUGACUGCUAAUACCGCCUAAGACCACAGUACCGCAUGGUACAGGGGUAAAAACUCCGGUGGGAUGAGAUGGACCCGCGUCUGAUUAGGUAGUUGGUGGGGUAACGGCCUAACAAGCCGACGAUCAGUAGCCGACCUGAGAGGGUGACCGGCCACAUUGGGACUGAGACACGGCCCAAACUCCUACGGGAGGCAGCAGUGGGGAAUAUUGCACAAUGGGGGAAACCCUGAUGCAGCGACGCCGCGUGAGCGAUGAAGUAUUUCGGUAUGUAAAGCUCUAUCAGCAGGGAAGAAAAUGACGGUACCUGACUAAGAAGCACCGGCUAAAUACGUGCCAGCCGCCGCAGUAA